RNAcentral lists this signal recognition particle RNA (268 nucleotides) under Actinobacteria bacterium SCGC AG-212-D09. Its description in RNAcentral is "Bacterial large signal recognition particle RNA". It matches the Rfam family "Bacterial large signal recognition particle RNA". Rfam says of the family: The signal recognition particle (SRP) is a universally conserved ribonucleoprotein involved in the co-translational targeting of proteins to membranes. Archaeal SRP consists of a 7S RNA and homologues of the eukaryotic SRP19 and SRP54 proteins. In most bacteria, the SRP consists of a 4.5S RNA and the Ffh protein (a homologue of the eukaryotic SRP54 protein). Lineage: Bacteria; Bacillati; Actinomycetota. The record is from Rfam by way of RNAcentral.
CCGUGCUAGGCGGGGUGCUAGCGGUGCCCUGUACCCGCAAUCCGCUCUAGCGGGGCUGAAUCCCCUCCCGAGGGGCACAGGCCCCGGGUCAGCGCCCCGGCUCGAGGCGUUGAUGGUUCGGUCCCGUUGCGAUGGGAGCCCGUGAACCAGGUCAGAUCCGGAAGGAAGCAGCCUUAAGCGGUAACCCCCAGGCGCGACGGGAGCGCCGGAUCUGAGCCUCGAGGCAGUGGCAGCGUCCCGGGUACCGGCCACGACGGAGGGUGCACGG